Molecule: ribosomal RNA, 464 nt
Filed under: uncultured bacterium
Lineage: Bacteria
Description: SSU rRNA
Rfam family: Bacterial small subunit ribosomal RNA
Source: RNAcentral
AGGACUAACGCUGGCGGCGUGCCUAACACAUGCAAGUCGAACGAGGUAGCAAUACCUAGUGGCAGACGGGUGAGUAACACGUAGUCAACCUUCCCGAUAGUGGGGGAUAACUAGCCGAAAGGUUAGCUAAUACCGCAUACGAUCUUCGAGUGGCAUCAUUUGAAGAUGAAAGGAGCAAUCCGCUUUCGGACGGGACUGCGUCCCAUUAGCUAGAUGGUGGGGUAAUGGCCUACCAUGGCAACGAUGGGUAGCUGGUUUGAGAGAGCGACCAGCCACACUGGGACUGAGAAACGGCCCAGACUCCUACGGGAGGCAGCAGUGAGGAAUUUUCCGCAAUGGGCGAAAGCCUGACGGAGCGACGCCGCGUGUGGGAAGAAGGCCUUCGGGUCGUAAACCACUGUCGAAGGGGAAAUACUGAUGGUACCCUUGGAGGAAGCCCCGGCUAACUACGCGCCAGCAGCCGC